Molecule: ribosomal RNA, 442 nt
Filed under: uncultured bacterium
Lineage: Bacteria
Description: partial 16S ribosomal RNA
Rfam family: Bacterial small subunit ribosomal RNA
Source: RNAcentral
CCUACGGGAGGCAGCAGUAGGGAAUCUUUCACAAUGAGCGAAAGCCUGAUGGAGCAACGCCGCGUGCAGGAUGAAGGCCUUCGGGUUGUAAACUGCUUUUAUAAGCGAGAAAUAUGAUGGUAACUUAUGAAUAAGGAUCGGCUAACUACGUGCCAGCAGCCGCGGUCAUACGUAGGAUCCGAGCAUUAUCCGGAGUGACUGGGUGUAAAGAGUUGCGUAGGUGGCAUAAUAAGUAGCUAGUGAAAUCUGGUGGCUCAACCAUUCAGACUAUUAGCUAAACUGUUAAGCUCGAGACCGUUAGGGGUAACUGGAAUUUCUAGUGUAGGAGUGAAAUCCGUAGAUAUUAGAAGGAACACCAAUAGCGUAGGCAGGUUGCUGGGACGGUUCUGACACUAAGGCACGAAAGCGUAGGGAGCAAACGGGAUUAGAUACCCCAGUAGUC